This 253-nucleotide ribosomal RNA is filed under the name uncultured bacterium. RNAcentral describes it as "partial 16S ribosomal RNA". It matches the Rfam family "Bacterial small subunit ribosomal RNA", at positions 524 to 776 of the family's 1533-position model. The record is from RNAcentral.
UACGAAGGGGGCUAGCGUUGCUCGGAAUCACUGGGCGUAAAGGGUGCGUAGGCGGGUCUUUAAGUCAGAGGUGAAAUCCUGGAGCUCAACUCCAGAACUGCCUUUGAUACUGAGAGGCUCGAGUCCGGGAGAGGUGAGUGGAACUCCGAGUGUAGAGGUGAAAUUCGUAGAUAUUCGGAAGAACACCAGUGGCGAAGGCGGCUCACUGGCCCGGUACUGACGCUGAGGUGCGAAAGCGUGGGGAGCAAACAGG